UGUAUGUCUGUAGUCCUGACUACUUGGGAGACUGAGGUGGGAGGAUUGAUUGAACCCUGGAGGUUGAGGCUGCAAUGAGCCAUUAUUGUACCUUGCACUCCAGCCUAGGUGACAGAAGGAGACCCUGUCUCAAAAAAAAAAAAAAAAAAAAAUUCAGUCUCUUCUUUUUGACCUCCUUAAUCACUUCAGAGAAAUUGAUGCAGCUUUUAUGACUUACCUACCCAUCCCCUAUUUAAACUUGCAGAAAGUUAGAGUGGAGGCAUAAAAAAAUAAGAAAAUAUUUUGGAGUAGCUAGGUACCUGGAAAAAAUCAAUGAGUUACUUAGUCUAAUUUUUAGGUGACCAGAGCCUAGAAUGGUAAUAGAAUAAUUUUCUGCAGAAAGGACAUUUAAAAAUAAUCUGUUUUUGAAUGCCAGACAGGAAUUAUUUUGUAGCAAUCAGUUUUCAACUGUUGUUUUCAAAGCUCCUUUACCAGGGGAAGCUGUCUGAUCAUCUCCCAUCUCUAGCCAGUUUCACCCUACAUCAUGAGCUGUCUUUGCCUUUCCGUACACCAUUACAUGUAACUCUUGCCCUAAGUUGUUCCAUGCAUGUAAACAACUUUUUCCUCCUGCUUUUCACACCUCAACUCAAUCUUCAAGUUUUGAUUUAUUUUCACUUGAUUCCUUUAUUUAGUCUCCCAUUGGGUUAUAAUCUCAUCAAGAGAAGAGAGUUAGUACUACUUACUAUUAGUUCAAAAAUAAUUCCUAUUCCCUUUAAGUUUUAGACUUUUCAGAGCACUUUCAUUUUUGUCAGAGCAUUAUAACAUUCAUGUGUUAGUUUUUAGAGAGCUCACUAUCCUCAUUUUCCAAUGAGGUCACUGAGGCAGAGGCAGCCACACUUCUCCAAGGUUACAUGUAAUCCAAAACUAAAUGCCUAGACUCUGGGCCCAUGAUUUUUUUUUUUUUUUUCUAAAUGAAAGUCUUCGCCCAUUGGCCAGGUGCAGUGGCUCAUGCCUGUAAUCCUAGUACUUUGGGAGGCUGAGGCAGGCAGAUCACUUGAGGUCAGGAGUUUGAGACCACCCUGGCCAACAUGGUGAAACCCCGUCUAAAAAUACAAAAAUUAGGCGGGUGUGGUGGCGCACUUGUAAUCCCAGCUACUCAGGAGGCUGAGGCAGGAGAAUCGCUUGAACCCAGGAAGCAGAGAUUGCAGUGAUCCGAGAUCGCGCCACUGCACUCCAGCCUGGGUGACAGAGCAAGGCUCCAUCUUAAAAAAAAAAAAAAAAAGCAAGUCUUUGUCCACAUAGUAUUCUAUAUCCUGAAGAUGAUAGGUAAUGUCUAGCUUUAAUGAACUCAGAAAGCAUUUGUAAAUGAUAUUGCAAUAUUUUAAAAGACUGUUGAUAUAGGACUGUAAAAAUAGGGGAAUAAGAAAGGAGGCCAGGUGCGGUGGCUCACGCCUGUAAUCCCAGCACUUUGGGAUGCUGAGGUGGACAGAUCACCUGAGGUCAGGAGUUCGAGACCAGCCUGGACAACAUGAUGAAACCCUGUCUCUACUAAAAAUAUAAAAAAAGUGGUGGGGUGUGGUGGCGCAUGCCUGUAGUCCCAGUUACUUGG
RNAcentral lists this long non-coding RNA (1588 nucleotides) under Homo sapiens (human). Its description in RNAcentral is "non-protein coding lnc-SMIM14-4:1". The record is from RNAcentral. Lineage: Eukaryota; Metazoa; Chordata; Mammalia; Primates; Hominidae.